Molecule: non-coding RNA, 92 nt
Organism: Mycena leptocephala
Lineage: Eukaryota; Fungi; Basidiomycota; Agaricomycetes; Agaricales; Mycenaceae
Source: the annotation of a GenBank genome assembly
GGUUUGAUGGUGUAGUGGUUACACAUCCUCUUUAAUUAUUACAAUUAUGAAAUCAAUUGAGGAAGUCCCCAGUUCGAAUCCGGGUUAGGCCA